This is a long non-coding RNA of Neomonachus schauinslandi (Hawaiian monk seal), 1281 nucleotides long. RefSeq lists it as uncharacterized. Lineage: Eukaryota; Metazoa; Chordata; Mammalia; Carnivora; Phocidae. The transcript has 4 exons. The record is from RefSeq and is a predicted model, not a curated record.
GGGCAGGGAGGUGGGGAGCAGGCCCUUCUGGAAAAAGGAAGUAGGCUGCCCCCAUCUCAGGAAGCUUCCGGCAGCCUGCAGCCCCCAAGAGAGGACAGAGAGGGCAGCAGGCAGUGGGGGCUGGGGAACAGAAUGGCCUUGGGUGAAGGAGGAGUGGGGGAAGGUACCAGGUAGAAAGAGCAACAGAGCUCCCACCCCCCGGGAGCAGGAGGCCUGGAAGUCCUAAUCCCAUCCUGGCUCUUCGUCCCACCUGCCAUGUUCAUGGGGCCAGGCCUGAACCUCUUGGCACCUGUUUUUUCCCUGUGAGGUUCAUGUGGCCACAGCCACGAUGUCAUCGCCUGCUGUUCCAAUUACCCUCAGCCAGCGAGCAAGUGUCCCUGCCGCCCCUCCCCCCAGCCCCAGCCAGGGCUGCUGGGGCAGGCUGGUGGCCACUGCCUUUAGGGUCCACAGACGCUAGCCGCAGCAUCGAGCUCCCUACACAGCCCCACAGAGGUACCGGGGUCCCCCCUCAGUUCCUUCCGCCGUGCUCACUCUGUUUCAGACCAUCCUCCUCUUCAGCUCUCAGAGAAUGUCAUUUUUACCGGGAAGAUCGAAGCCUUGGUUCUGGAGCUUCCUCAGCCUCCUGCCCUCCUCCCCUCUGGGAAGUGCCCCUGUUCUCUUCUGCACCUCCCAGCGUCUUUCCGGGCUUCUUCCCCCCUCAAGUUUCCCGGGCGUUGAGGAGGACUGGCCGCCGCCUCGCCAAGCCCCGAGCUGAACCCGCUGAUGCCCAGGCCACCCGCUUGUGUCUUGAUCGCCGACUUGAGCUCGUGAUUCUCCCGAAUGAGCUGUACCAGCUUCUUCAGCUCCUCAUUCUCCCGCACCAGCCUCUCGAUCUGAUGCCGAAGCCCCUCAUAAUUGGUGCCCGCUCUGUCCGGCUUCCUGCCGCCCCAGCAAGCUCCCCUCUGCUCUCCAGGCUUCCCCGGCCAUGUCUCUACUGCGGCGCUUACCCGGCUCUGUGCUGGUAGCUGCUGGCUCUGUUUGGCUCACUUUACAGUGAGGCUGGGGGUUGGGCACGUCCCCAGCAGCCAGCAAAGGGCCCAGGGGCACAGCAGGACAUCCCACCCUCCGGCGUGGGAAAACAAGCCUCUCACGGCCUUCCGGGUCUCCUGUACCAUCCGGUCCGGCCUCGCUGUUGGCCUCUCCUGGGGUCGAUGCAUCUGGGCUGGUGAAAUUGAUGGCUCAGCAUGGCUGGGUGCCCACGUGCUUGGUCAAACCCUGGUUCAGAUAUUGCUGUGAAAGUAU